CAGCAGCCGCCGCGGUAAAACCGAGGGUGCAAGCGUUAAUCGGAAUUACUGGGCGUAAAGCGCGCGUAGGUGGUUCGCCAAGUUGGAUGUGAAAUCCCCGGGCUCAACCUGGGAACUGCAUCCAAAACUGGCGAGCUAGAGUAUGGUAGAGGGUGGUGGAAUUUCCUGUGUAGCGGUGAAAUGCGUAGAUAUAGGAAGGAACAUCAGUGGCGAAGGCGACCACCUGGACUGAUACUGACACUGAGGUGCGAAAGCGUGGGGAGCAAACAGGAUUAGAUACCCCUGUAGUCCCUGUCUCUUAUAC
This 304-nucleotide ribosomal RNA is filed under the name uncultured bacterium. Its description in RNAcentral is "partial 16S ribosomal RNA". It matches the Rfam family "Bacterial small subunit ribosomal RNA", at positions 506 to 807 of the family's 1533-position model. The record is from RNAcentral.